This 396-nucleotide ribosomal RNA is filed under the name uncultured bacterium. RNAcentral describes it as "partial 16S ribosomal RNA". It matches the Rfam family "Bacterial small subunit ribosomal RNA", at positions 523 to 918 of the family's 1533-position model. The record is from RNAcentral.
AUACAGAGGGUGCAAGCGUUAAUCGGAUUUACUGGGCGUAAAGCGCGCGUAGGGGGCUAAUUAAGUCAAAUGUGAAAUCCCCGAGCUUAACUUGGGAAUUGCAUUCGAUACUGGUUAGCUAGAGUAUGGGAGAGGAUGGUAGAAUUCCCGGAGUAGCGGGGAAAGGGGUAGAACUCUGGAGGAAUACCGAGGGGGAAGGAGGCCAUCUGGCUAAAUACUGCGACUGAGGUCGGAAAGCUUGGGAGGAAACCAGGUUAAGUUCCCCUGUAAGUCCAUGCCGUAACCGAUGCCUACUAGCCGUUGGGGCCCAUGAGGCUUUAGUGGCGCAGCUAACGCGAUAAGUAGGCCGCCUGGGGAGUACGGUCGCAAGACUAAAACUCAAAUGAAUUGGCGGGG